Long non-coding RNA from Bombyx mori (domestic silkworm), 3879 nucleotides. RefSeq lists it as uncharacterized. The record is from RefSeq and is a predicted model, not a curated record. The transcript is spliced from 2 exons. Lineage: Eukaryota; Metazoa; Arthropoda; Insecta; Lepidoptera; Bombycidae.
CGUUAAUAUAUACAUUAUAUAUAUGUACUUGAGACGAAUUCUGAGGUCAUCAGUCGAUGCGAUAACGCGAAUAAUUGGUUAUUAUAUUAAUUAGCUCGAGCGCGCGCUGUUGGCAAACUAAAUUACAUUUGAAUUAAACACAAGAACCUUAAAACCGUGAAAACUGUGGCGAGCUCAGAGGAUAUUAAUUUCCGAAGUGUUCUUUGUGAGUUCCAGUGCCGAUGAGCGUCUGUGGACAGUUUUCAAGGAGGUUCAACAAUAAUAGACGGGACGUCAUUGGUCAAAGACAAUAGUUACAUAGCUGUCAACAUCUGAGAUUUAUUCGCUUGGAGAUAACAAUUUGCACAAAUAAAUUAUAAUGCAACCUGAUACAAGUGAAAGAAUCAAGCUAAUUUGACGGUGGAGAAGAUCUAAGAAGCUGUUUUCCAUCUUCUAUGCGACAGAAACCUGAAAAUUCAUCUACGCGCCAAAAACAAAUUUGUCAAAAUAUUUUUCGCACUGGAUUUGGAAGAAAACGUUACACAGAUUAAUUUCGUAUAACCAGAUUACAAUAGUUUUUUUUUUAAUUGAUCACUAUUUAAAAAAAGCGAGUGGUUUAUUUAUUUAUAUGUAUGUUUAAAAAUAUCGAUUUACGUAUUUGAUUAUCGAUUAAAACGAUUAAAACUAUUUGUUAAUAAAUCUUCAUAAUUAAAUUCAGAUUAAAAUAAUUUCAAACACUAUUUUAAAUCUAAAAAGCUUAAUUUUGUCAUGAUGGUUACGAUGCUACUGCCAUUGUACGCGAUAUUAACAAUAUCAAAUAUUUUAAUGAAGAUGGAGAAUUACAACAUACCACAUACACCCGAAUUAAGAAACAUAAGAGUUAGAAGGAACAUUGAUGUGCUACACUCAAAUAAUUAUGAAUAUACCCAAGGAAACACAUUAAAGAACAUUCGUGAUGUAUUCAAUAAAUACUCCAUUAUAAAAAGAAGAAAACGGGAUGGUAAUUCAUACAGCCAAGCUAACACCCAAGUGCCUUACAGUUACUACAAUUAUAAUACAGCCUACAAAACGCCCACUAUCAAUUAUUAUAACGUCCGUAAUGCGAAUAUUCCUUAUUACGACAACAAGAAUCCAAUAUACAACAAUCAAUACAUCAAUAAAACGCCUUAUGGCGGGCUAUACAACAAUAAAUAUACCCUGGCAUCUGGUUUGAAUAAUUUAAACAGGACAAACACAGUUCGAUAUUCCGAUGAUGCCACAACUAGAUCUGCCAAUUUUGAUAACGCUGAAAGCGCUACAAGCUAUAACGUUUUGCUUAAUAAUAAGAUUGAAACGACUACGCUAAAGCCGAAAGUAGUAAGCGCUCAUAUUUUCAGUAGUGCCUGGUGUCCGCAAUUUUUGAAAAAAAUCGGCAAUUUAUGCCUUGACGUUGACAGUCUUGAUUAUUGAUGCGAUAACUAAUAUUUUUCGUAUUUAUGGAAGGCAGAGGUAAGGAGCGCCGCCAUCUUGUAUAGGAGACAAGUUGAAAAUGUGUCCGUCUGUAAACAGCUAGUUGUUGUUGGAAGACUCAUCGAAAUAGCGCCAGUGUAUGUAGUGGAAAUGAUAUAUAUGAGUCGUCUAUUAUCAAAGGUGGCAAUCUGUGCAUUUGGACAAAACAUUUUUAUUGAUAUGUCAAUACAGAUUUAUUUUAAUAUAAUCGUCUCCUUCAAAGAAUACGGUUCAAAACCUGCAUUAAAUAAAGGUUAAUAGUUAACCUGUUAUUUAUCUAAGAUGUCGUUCCGAAGAGUUUUGUGACUGCCAAUGGAAUACAAAGUCAAUAAUUCGUUUUUCUGAUUUACCAAUCAUUGUCCAAAAGUCAGAUUGCCGCCUUUGAUAAUAGUCGACUCAUAUAUCAUAUUGCAUAUUAUAGCGUAAAUUAUAUUAAUAUUGGCUUCCUUUGAGCGGAUACUUUAAUACACUGAGAUGGUGCUCGUUAUUUUUGCCCUCUACAUUUUAACACGCUUUAUAUAACUGCUAUAUAUCUUUGAAUGUCGUUUUCACUGACUUGAAGACGUCCGAUUGACUUAACAAUUCGCGCACGCGUCAAAAACCAAUGAUUGAUGAUGAUGAUAAUAGCUUGGUUACCUACUACGCUAUAAUACAAAAAAAAAUUAUUACCUUAUUGUUUGAUAAUCAAGCAAUUUUUGAUGUGAAACAUCUAUAGCCGCACGUAAAACCGAUUUCUGGCGUGGCAACGCAUGCCGUGGCGACGCGUCGCCAUGCGCAAUCGACUGUGCGAUUCUCCCACUCGAUCCGGCGUUAAGCCAUCUCUCUCGCUACACUGAGCUCCGAUACCUCUAGUGUAUACUCCGUAGUGUAUACAGUGUUGUUUACACAUACAGUACACAUAACCUGUGUUUUACUUGAUAACAAAUUAUUUUUUCGUAAUAUUUUAUUUUAUCAUUAUGACAUAUUUAGUUCCUAUCACAAUCUGUUCUUUUCUGCAUAUUACUUUAAAAAAAUAAUGUCGAUGUUUCACACCUGCCAGGCGUCCCGUGACGAAUUUUUUUUAAAUUUUAAACCACUAUAUUGUUUAUAAUAUCCAUGACAUCACAAUAAUUUUUAAGUAAGCCUAUCGACCAAAUAUGUCUGCUGUCGUUUUAUUUAUUAACAAAUGAAAUGAAAUUAGAUAAAUAAUAUUUGGUAGGCAGCGGCUUGGCUCUGCCCCUGGCAUUGCUGAAGUCCAUGGGCGACGGUAACCACUCACCAUCAGGUGGGCCGUAUGCCCGUCUGCCUACAAAGGCAAUAAAAAAAAAAAAAAAAAAAAUAGAUGUAAUUCUUAGUAAUAGAUAAUGUUAAUGUUGCCUUCAAAUAAAAUAACUCUGACGAUGUUUUUAAUUUUAUUUAACUCAUUAAAAUAGCUAGUUGUGUGAAUAAUAUUACAGCCUUGUGGCUUCUGUGCCCUUUGUCUCGCAUUUCUCUGCGAGUUUUGGAACGAAGUUCCUUAUCGCGCGUUGUGAAAGGGGGCUAGACGGAAAAAAUUCUUACGAAAAGUUGUCACGACACUUUUUAGAUCCGUCAUUCUGACCAAUCAACGUGUAGGCGCUUAUCGCGUGACAUUGCUCGUAUCCGAUUGGUCCGCGUAAUGAGUACAGUUUCUCGAGAUAGCGUUUCAACAAUAGUAAUUUAGUUCAUAGUAUUGUUUUUUUCUUCUUCAUAAUGCCGUUAUUUAUUAUUAUAACUUUAAAAAAAAAAUACAAUUCCUUCACUAAUUAAUCGAAAGGAACUUCGUUCCAUCCGAGUGUCUCUUGACACCUCUGAAGUUUUUAUUUAAGAAUGUAAUUCCAUGUUCGGAUUUUAAAUAAUUAAAUUAAUUUAUGGGACUCUGUGUGAUACUAUUGCUCCCAGUACGAAUGUAAUUUUCAUUGGACUUUUUGGCGGGAACGCGAGUAGUGAAGUUGUGUGUUUUUUUUUGUCUAUUUAGUGUUUCUUCAAGUUUAAAUGUGUAAUAACGGUGGUUUUUUAACCAUUUAAUAUCUGUGAAAGUGCACGAUUGUGGGAAAAUGAAACAAAGCCGCUGGACGUAACUACGCGGUAUCCUCCAAAAAGUCCACUGAAAAAAUCUCAGUAAAUGACCACCAUUUUACUAAGAUUAUAUUUCAUCCCAUAUCAUCUCAUCUAAUUUCAUCCCAGUUGAUUAAUGUCUCAAAUGAAUCAUCUUCAUUUCAUUUCACCCCAUAUUACCAUUUUUCAUAUAAAUAAGAAUAUAAAUUAAAAUAAGAUAUGACUUAAAUGACCUGGUAACUAAGACAGUUACCAGGUCAUAAAAUCCUUUAAAAAUUUUUAAUUUUCAUUCAGUCUUAAAAUUAUAAAAUGUAUAGAUCUAACUUGUAUUUUCAAUAAAUAACUUCCCUAACGAUA